AAUGAACGCUGGCGGCGCGCCUAAUACAUGCAAGUCGAGCGAGAAGACGUAGCAAUACGUUUGUAAAGCGGCGAACGGGUGAGGAAUACAUGGGGUAACCUACCCUCGAGUGGGGAAGUAACUAGCCGAAAGGUUAGCUAAUACCGCGUACGCUUCUUGGACUUCGGUUUCAGGGAGGAAAGACGAUACCGUGGGUAGUCGCGCUCUUGGAUGGG
Molecule: ribosomal RNA, 215 nt
Filed under: uncultured bacterium
Lineage: Bacteria
Description: partial 16S ribosomal RNA
Rfam family: Bacterial small subunit ribosomal RNA
Source: RNAcentral